RNAcentral lists this ribosomal RNA (409 nucleotides) under uncultured bacterium. RNAcentral's name for it is "bacterial SSU rRNA". It matches the Rfam family "Bacterial small subunit ribosomal RNA", at positions 355 to 776 of the family's 1533-position model. The record is from RNAcentral.
UGGGGAAUAUUGCACAAUGGGCGAAAGCCUGAUGCAGCAACGCCGCGUGAGGGAUGACGGCCUUCGGGUUGUAAACCUCUUUUAGUAGGGAAGAAGCGAAAGUGACGGUACCUGCAGAAAAAGCACCGGCUAACUACGUGCCAGCAGCCGCGGUAAUACGUAGGGUGCAAGCGUUGUCCGGAAUUAUUGGGCGUAAAGAGCUCGUAGGCGGUUUGUCGCGUCUGCUGUGAAAUCCCGAGGCUCAACCUCGGGCUUGCAGUGGGUACGGGCAGACUAGAGUGCGGUAGGGGAGAUUGGAAUUCCUGGUGUAGCGGUGGAAUGCGCAGAUAUCAGGAGGAACACCGAUGGCGAAGGCAGAUCUCUGGGCCGUAACUGACGCUGAGGAGCGAAAGCAUGGGGAGCGAACAGG